RNAcentral lists this ribosomal RNA (254 nucleotides) under uncultured bacterium. RNAcentral describes it as "partial 16S ribosomal RNA". It matches the Rfam family "Bacterial small subunit ribosomal RNA", at positions 524 to 776 of the family's 1533-position model. The record is from RNAcentral.
CACGUAGGGGGCAAGCGUUGUCCGGAUUUAUUGGGCGUAAUGAGUUCGUAGGCGGCUUAGUAAGUCGGGUGUGAAACCUCCAGGCUCAACCUGGAGACGCCACCCGAUACUGCUGUGGCUAGAGUCCGGUAGGGGAGCGUGGAAUUCCUGGUGUAGCGGUGAAAUGCGCAGAUAUCAGGAGGAACACCAGCGGCGAAGGCGGCGCUCUGGGCCGGUACUGACGCUGAGGAGCGAAAGCGUGGGGAGCAAACAGG